UACGUAGGUGGCAAGCGUUGUCCGGAUUUACUGGGCGUAAAGCGCACGUAGGCGGAUCGAUCAGUCAGGGGUGAAAUCCCAGAGCUCAACUCUGGAACUGCCUUUGAUACUGUCGAUCUGGAGUAUGGAAGAGGUGAGUGGAAUUCCGAGUGUAGAGGUGAAAUUCGUAGAUAUUCGCAAGAACACCAGUGGCGAAGGCGGCUCACUGGCCCGAUACUGACGCUGAGGUGCGAAAGCGUGGGGAGCAAACAGG
This 253-nucleotide ribosomal RNA is filed under the name uncultured bacterium. RNAcentral describes it as "partial 16S ribosomal RNA". It matches the Rfam family "Bacterial small subunit ribosomal RNA", at positions 524 to 776 of the family's 1533-position model. The record is from RNAcentral.